Molecule: ribosomal RNA, 578 nt
Filed under: uncultured bacterium
Lineage: Bacteria
Description: bacterial SSU rRNA
Rfam family: Bacterial small subunit ribosomal RNA
Source: RNAcentral
CCUACGGGAGGCAGCAGUGAGGAAUAUUGGACAAUGGGCGCAAGCCUGAUCCAGCCAUGCCGCGUGCAGGAAGACUGCCCUAUGGGUUGUAAACUGCUUUUAUACAGGAAGAAACCUUUCCACGUGUGGGGAGCUGACGGUACUGUAAGAAUAAGCAUCGGCUAACUCCGUGCCAGCAGCCGCGGUAAUACGGAGGAUGCAAGCGUUAUCCGGCUUCAUUGGGUUUAAAGGGUGCGUAGGCGGGUUAAUAAGUCAGUGGUGAAAGCCUACAGCUUAACUGUAGAAUUGCCAUUGAUACUGUUAAUCUUGAGUAUGGUUGAGGUAGGCGGAAUACGGCAUGUAGCGGUGAAAUGCAUAGAUAUGCCGUAGAACACCAAUCGCGAAGGCAGCUUACCAAGCCAUUACUGACGCUGAGGCACGAAAGCGUGGGGAGCGAACAGGAUUAGAUACCCUGGUAGUCCACGCCGUAAACGAUGAUCACUCGCUGUUGGCGAUACACUGUCAGCGGCCAAGCGAAAGCAUUAAGUGAUCCACCUGGGGAGUACGCUCGCAAGAGUGAAACUCAAAGGAAUUGACGG